UUGAAUCCAAAGGAUGUUGCUGGCCUUUCGGGGCAUGUGCACUCCACCUUUUCAAUACACCUGUGAACUUAUUGUAGGUGCAGAUGUAAAAAGUCUGUUGCCUAUGUUUUUACCACACCCCUAAAAAGUCUAUUGAAUGUCUUAAUUGUGGCCUUUCAUGGUCAACAAAACUUAAUA
This 177-nucleotide unclassified non-coding RNA is filed under the name uncultured Clavariaceae. RNAcentral describes it as "sequence contains ITS1". The record is from RNAcentral. Lineage: Eukaryota; Fungi; Basidiomycota; Agaricomycetes; Agaricales; Clavariaceae.